RNAcentral lists this ribosomal RNA (314 nucleotides) under uncultured soil bacterium. RNAcentral's name for it is "bacterial SSU rRNA". It matches the Rfam family "Bacterial small subunit ribosomal RNA", at positions 26 to 365 of the family's 1533-position model. The record is from RNAcentral.
AGAACGAACGCUGGCGGCAUGCCUAAUACAUGCAAGUCGAACGAACUCUUCGGAGUUAGUGGCGCACGGGUGCGUAACGCGUGGGAAUCUGCCCUUGGGUUCGGAAUAACAGUUGGAAACGACUGCUAAUACCGGAUGAUGACGAAAAGUCCAAAGAUUUAUCGCCCAGGGGAUGAGCCCGCGUAGGAUUAGCUAGUUGGUGAGGUAAAGGCUCACCAAGGCUACGAUCCUUAGCUGGUCUGAGAGGAUGAUCAGCCACACUGGGACUGAGACACGGCCCAGACUCCUACGGGAGGCGAGCAGUAGGGAAUAUU